AAAAUAUCUACUGGACAUUUAGUUUGAGAUUUCUGAAAGACAGUUAAAGAUUUGAAAUUGAAGGUCAACAGAGAGAUUAGUGCAGGAAAGGGAGAAUUGAGAGUCAUUAACAGAGAGAUGGUAAUUAAUUCCAUGGCAGUUGAUGAGUUUAUAAAGUGAAGUAGUAGAAAGGUAGAUGUGUAAAGGACCCAGGAUAGAACCUGAGGGAAACCUAUAUUUAGAGAACUUUAUCAGGUAAAGGGACUGAACAUGCUUAACCUGGGGAGAGAAAGACUCAUAAGGACAUGACCAUUUUCUUCAAAUAUUUGAAGUUCUAUCAUGUAGAGAACAGUUAAGCCUCCUCCAUGAUUAGAAGUUCCAUGAGUCCUGGUGACUACUUAUCAGAAGGCCAAUUCUAUAAGGCCCUAAAGGAAAAACUAUCAACGGAAGAUGAAAGUUUCAAGGAGUCAUUUCAGUCAAGAAAAAAGGAGUUACUGAAAUUCCUUGAGCAAGAGAGUGAAAAAUAA
This 506-nucleotide long non-coding RNA is filed under the name Monodelphis domestica (gray short-tailed opossum). RNAcentral describes it as "lncRNA (ENSMODG00000039710.1)". Lineage: Eukaryota; Metazoa; Chordata; Mammalia; Didelphimorphia; Didelphidae. The record is from RNAcentral.